UAAUCCCGGUUACUUCAAAAGGUAAUUUGUCUCAAUUGAUUCUUGCCCACGAUUUUCCUGCGGUACACCGAAUAAAAUAUAUUAGGAAGAUCUUAUUUCUAUAUUUCAUCCCUGUCUACCAUUAACUCUAAAUAUUUUAAGAGGAUUGUCUGCGUGAUUAGCAAACUUAAAUUGUUUCUUUAUGUGCUACUGAACAACUUUAUUCUCUAAAUAAUUAUU
This 219-nucleotide long non-coding RNA is filed under the name Brassica napus (rape). RNAcentral describes it as "long non-coding RNA (BNAP_LNC003292)". The record is from RNAcentral. Lineage: Eukaryota; Viridiplantae; Streptophyta; Magnoliopsida; Brassicales; Brassicaceae.